UUCGGUGGUCAUAGCGUGAGGGAAACGCCCGGUUACAUUCCGAACCCGGAAGCUAAGCCUUUCAGCGCCGAUGGUACUGCAGAGGGGACUCUGUGGGAGAGUAGGACACCGCCGAAC
This 117-nucleotide ribosomal RNA is filed under the name Actinacidiphila alni. Lineage: Bacteria; Bacillati; Actinomycetota; Actinomycetes; Kitasatosporales; Streptomycetaceae. The record is from RNAcentral.